This 497-nucleotide ribosomal RNA is filed under the name uncultured bacterium. RNAcentral describes it as "partial 16S ribosomal RNA". It matches the Rfam family "Bacterial small subunit ribosomal RNA", at positions 28 to 507 of the family's 1533-position model. The record is from RNAcentral.
GAUGAACGCUGGCGGCGUGCCUAAUACAUGCAAGUCGAGCGAACAGACGAGGAGCUUGCUCCUCUGACGUUAGUGGCGGACGGGUGAGUAACACGUGGAUAACCUACCUAUAAGACUGGGAUAACUUCGGGAAACCGGAGCUAAUACCGGAUAAUAUAUUGAACCGCAUGGUUCAAUAGUGAAAGACGGUUUUGCUGUCACUUAUAGAUGGAUCCGCGCCGCAUUAGCUAGUUGGUAAGGUAACGGCUUACCAAGGCAACGAUGCGUAGCCGACCUGAGAGGGUGAUCGGCCACACUGGAACUGAGACACGGUCCAGACUCCUACGGGAGGCAGCAGUAGGGAAUCUUCCGCAAUGGGCGAAAGCCUGACGGAGCAACGCCGCGUGAGUGAUGAAGGUCUUCGGAUCGUAAAACUCUGUUAUUAGGAAAGAACAAAUGUGUAAGUAACUAUGCACGUCUUGACGGUACCUAAUCAGAAAGCCACGGCUAACUACGUG